UGGGGAAUAUUGGACAAUGGGGGAAACCCUGAUCCAGCAAUGCCGCGUGAGUGAAGAAGGCCUUAGGGUUGUAAAGCUCUUUCACCCGUGACGAUGAUGACGGUAGCGGGAGAAGAAGCCCCGGCUAAUUCCGUGCCAGCAGCCGCGGUAAUACGGAAGGGGCUAGCGUUGUUCAGAUUUACUGGGCGUAAAGCGCACGUAGGCGGCCGACCAAGUUAGGCGUGAAAGCCCUGGGCUCAACCUAGGAAUUGCGCUUAAAACUGGUUGGCUAGAGUCCGGGAGAGGGUGGUGGAAUUCCCAGUGUAGAGGUGAAAUUCGUAGAUAUUGGGAGGAACACCGGUGGCGAAGGCGGCCACCUGGCCCGGUACUGACGCUAAAGUGCGAAAGCGUGGGGAGCAAACAGGAUUAGAUACCCCCGUAGUCC
Molecule: ribosomal RNA, 424 nt
Filed under: uncultured prokaryote
Description: bacterial SSU rRNA
Rfam family: Bacterial small subunit ribosomal RNA
Source: RNAcentral